RNAcentral lists this ribosomal RNA (830 nucleotides) under uncultured marine archaeon. RNAcentral describes it as "bacterial SSU rRNA". It matches the Rfam family "Archaeal small subunit ribosomal RNA", at positions 24 to 858 of the family's 1478-position model. The record is from RNAcentral.
UCACCUGCUAUUGGAGUUCGGCUAAGCCAUGCAAGUUGAGAGAAUUAGAUUCUCGGCGUCAGGCUGAGUAACACGUGGGUAAUCUAACCUAAGGCGGGGAAUAACCUCGGGAAACUGAGGACAAUGCCCCAUAGGCAACGGAUACUGGAAGGUUCCUUUGCUAAAAGUUCCGACACCUUAGGAUGAGCCCGCGGCGGAUUAGGCUGUUGGUAGGGUAAUGGCCUACCAAACCAUUGAUCCGUAGGGGCCGUGAGAGCGGUAGCCCCCAGACGGGAACUGAGACAAGGUCCCGAGCCCUACGGGGUGCAGCAGGCGCGAAACCUCCGCAAUGCACGCAAGUGUGACGGGGGGACUCCAAGUGCACUAGAUUUUUUCUAGUGCUUUUCUGAAGUGUAAAUAGCUUCAGGAAUAAAGACUGGGUAAGACCGGUGCCAGCCGCCGCGGUAACACCGGCAGUCUGAGUGGUGACCACUUUUAUUGGGCCUAAAGCGUUCGUAGCCGGGUCUGUAGGUCUCCAGGUAAAUCUGGCAGCUUAACUGUCGGAAUUCUGGGGAUACCGCAGGUCUUGGAGCUGGGAGGGGGUGCGAGUACUCCAGGGGUAAGGGUGAAAUCUACUGAUCCUUGGGGGACUACCUGUGGCGAAGGCGCGCAUCCAGAACAGACUCGACGGUGAGGGACGAAACCCUGGGGAGCGAACGGGAUUAGAUACCCCGGUAGUCCAGGGCGUAAACGAUGCCCGUUUGGUGUUGCGUACUCUACGCGGGUGUGCAGUGCCGUAGCGUAGGUGUUUAACGGGCCGCCUGGGGAGUAUGGUCGCAAGGCUGAACUAA